AGGAGACUGGUGUAAUGGAAGCACGGCGACAACUAGAUGAUACCGUUCUUAUCUUCGUUAGAUGGAGGUUCGAGUCCUCCGUCUCCUCCA
This 90-nucleotide transfer RNA is filed under the name Caudoviricetes sp. RNAcentral describes it as "tRNA-Ser". The record is from RNAcentral. Lineage: Duplodnaviria; Heunggongvirae; Uroviricota; Caudoviricetes.